GACGAACGCUGGCGGCGUGCCUAACACAUGCAAGUCGAACGGAGAUAUGAUUUCGGUUGUAUCUUAGUGGCGAACGGGUGAGUAACGCGUGAACAACCUGACUCUAAGGGGGGGAUAACACUCGGAAACGGGUGCUAAUACCGCAUAAGACCACGACCUGGCAUCAGGAUGAGGUCAAAGGAGCAAUCCGCUGAGAGAGGGGUUCGCGUCCCAUUAGAUAGAUGGCGGGGUAACGGCCCACCAUGUCAACGAUGGGUAGCCGAGCUGAGAGGCUGAUCGGCCACACUGGAACUGAGACACGGUCCAGACUCCUACGGGAGGCAGCAGUGGGGAAUAUUGGGCAAUGGGCGCAAGCCUGACCCAGCAACGCCGCGUGAGGGAAGAAGGCUUUCGGGUUGUAAACCUCUGUCCUUGGUGACGAAACAAUGACGGUAGCCAAGGAGGAAGCCCCGGCUAACUACGUGCCAGCAGCCGCGGUAAU
RNAcentral lists this ribosomal RNA (481 nucleotides) under uncultured bacterium. Its description in RNAcentral is "bacterial SSU rRNA". It matches the Rfam family "Bacterial small subunit ribosomal RNA", at positions 28 to 524 of the family's 1533-position model. The record is from RNAcentral.